This is a long non-coding RNA of Mercenaria mercenaria, 779 nucleotides long. RefSeq lists it as uncharacterized. The transcript has 2 exons. The record is from RefSeq and is a predicted model, not a curated record. Lineage: Eukaryota; Metazoa; Mollusca; Bivalvia; Venerida; Veneridae.
GAUUACAAGGUAUUAUGAGACAGUUAUUGUAUUUAAGAUAUCUACAUACAAAGUUACCAUCGCCUUGCCAUUAUGGGAGCAUAUUUGUUUUGCCAUUCUUUUUUGUAAGUACAUUUGUAGUCAUCUGUUCUAUUUUACAAGAAAUGUGUAAUUAAGGCAACUAGGAAUAUGUAAUAGAAAUUUUUUUUAACACAUGUAUAUAUAUUUUAUGUUUAUUUAAGACAGUUAUAACAUAAGACAUUUUACAUUUGAGCAGUACCAUGAGAAAACCAUAGUGUCUUUGUGACCAUCAUGGGUCCAGACCAGCCUGCGCAUCCGUGGAUCUAUGCUGUUUGCUUUCAAAACCUAUUGCAGUGAGAGAAAUCUUUAGCAAACAGCAUGGAUCCUGACAUGAUCAGACUGCACGGACGUGCAGGCUGGUCUGGAUCCAUGCUGGUCGCAAACACACUCUGAUGUUUUCAUAGUGCGGCUGAUAUUUUUUUUACACACAGUUGUUAUUAUUGGCAUGGUUCUUAAUUAAUGCGUUAAUACUUAUGAUUUUUGUUCUUUGAACCACUCGAAUCUGCUUAUUAAAAUGAAGAAUAUAAAAAAUCCAUACUCUCUGAGUUCAUCCUCACCUACAAUUUUCAGGCCUAAAUUAUAUUUAUCAUUAAUCAGUAUUUAUUUACACCCAAUGGUUGUGAAGUUGCAUAAUUGUUUUAAUUCUUAUAUACUGUUGUUUGUUUAUAUUUGUUGUAGUUGUUGUAAUGAUUUUGAGCAAUUAAAUACUGAAAACAAGA